Molecule: ribosomal RNA, 457 nt
Filed under: uncultured bacterium
Lineage: Bacteria
Description: bacterial SSU rRNA
Rfam family: Bacterial small subunit ribosomal RNA
Source: RNAcentral
CAGGCCUAACACAUGCAAGUCGUACGGGAGUUUUUAACUCAAGUGGCGGACGGGUGAGUAAUGCGUAGGAAGCUACCCGAUAGAGGGGGAUACCAGUUGGAAACGACUGUUAAUACCGCAUAAUGUCUACGGACCAAAGUGUGGGACCUUCGGGCCACAUGCUAUCGGAUGCGCCUACGUGGGAUUAGCUAGUUGUGGGGUAAUGGCUCACCAAGGCGACGAUCCCUAGCUGGUUUGAGAGGAUGAUCAGCCACACUGGAACUGAGACACGGUCCAGACUCCUACGGGAGGCAGCAGUGGGGAAUAUUGGACAAUGGGCGCAAGCCUGAUCCAGCCAUGCCGCGUGUGUGAAGAAGGCCUUCGGGUUGUAAAGCACUUUCAGCGAGGAGGAAGGGUUAGUAGUUAAUAGCUGCUAAUUUUGACGUUACUCGCAGAAGAAGCACCGGCUAACUCUGUG